This 495-nucleotide ribosomal RNA is filed under the name uncultured bacterium. RNAcentral describes it as "bacterial SSU rRNA". It matches the Rfam family "Bacterial small subunit ribosomal RNA", at positions 29 to 527 of the family's 1533-position model. The record is from RNAcentral.
AGUGAACGCUGGCGGCAGGCCUAACACAUGCAAGUCGAGCGGCAGCGCGUCCGACCACCCUCGGGUGGUCGGAUGGCGGCGAGCGGCGGACGGGUGAGGAAUGCAUCGGAAUCUGCCUCGUUGUGGGGGAUAACGUAGGAAACUUAACGCUAAUACCGCAUACGACCUACGGGUGAAAGUGGGGGACCUUCGGGCCUCACGCGAUGAGAUGAGCCGAUGCCGGAUUAGCUAGUUGGCGGGGUAAAGGCCCACCAAGGCGACGAUCCGUAGCUGGUCUGAGAGGAUGAUCAGCCACACUGGAACUGAGACACGGUCCAGACUCCUACGGGAGGCAGCAGUGGGGGAAUAUUGGACAAUGGGCGAAAGCCUGAUCCAGCAAUGCCGCGUGAGUGAUGAAGGCCUUAGGGUUGUAAAGCUCUUUUACCCGGGAUGAUAAUGACAGUACCGGGAGAAUAAGCUCCGGCUAAACUCCGUGCCAGCAGCCGCGGUAAAGUG